UUGAUCAUGGCUCAGAUUGAACGCUGGCGGCAGGCCUAACACAUGCAAGUCGAGCGGCAGCACAGAGAAACUUGUUUCUCGGGUGGCGAGCGGCGGACGGGUGAGUAAUGCCUGGGAAAUUGCCCUGAUGUGGGGGAUAACCAUUGGAAACGAUGGCUAAUACCGCAUGAUGCCUACGGGCCAAAGAGGGGGACCUUCGGGCCUCUCGCGUCAGGAUAUGCCCAGGUGGGAUUAGCUAGUUGGUGAGGUAAGGGCUCACCAAGGCGACGAUCCCUAGCUGGUCUGAGAGGAUGAUCAGCCACACUGGAACUGAGACACGGUCCAGACUCCUACGGGAGGCAGCAGUGGGGAAUAUUGCACAAUGGGCGCAAGCCUGAUGCAGCCAUGCCGCGUGUGUGAAGAAGGCCUUCGGGUUGUAAAGCACUUUCAGUUGUGAGGAAGGUGGUGUCGUUAAUAGCGGCAUCAUUUGACGUUAGCAACAGAAGAAGCACCGGCUAACUCCGUGCCAGCAGCCGCGGUAAUACGGAGGGUGCGAGCGUUAAUCGGAAUUACUGGGCGUAAAGCGCAU
This 568-nucleotide ribosomal RNA is filed under the name Vibrio vulnificus. Its description in RNAcentral is "bacterial SSU rRNA". It matches the Rfam family "Bacterial small subunit ribosomal RNA", at positions 13 to 570 of the family's 1533-position model. Lineage: Bacteria; Pseudomonadati; Pseudomonadota; Gammaproteobacteria; Vibrionales; Vibrionaceae. The record is from RNAcentral.